UCAUAUAUUUGAUCCAUGUGAGAGAGUACUAGUAGAGAAGCUUGUAAACAAACCUCUUGAUAUGAUCAAGUAUCAAAAGCCUUGCCCCUGGUGCUGGUGGAAUGUUUACUUCUUGCUCUGAUUGUUUCCUUCACCUGAAAGAAGAACAAAAACCCGUGCGUAGCAAACAGCCCAGGAGAGUGCGUGUGCAGGCCUUACUUUCAAGCCUUUGCUCACAAAAGCGUACGCCAACCCACCACCUGAGGCUGAGACCAUGCUGCAAAGUUUGUCAAAACCCAAUCAGAAACAACGUCUGUAACAGGUUUUCAUCAAAUCAAUAUCACCCAAAGAACAAAUCUUGAAGAUUCUCAGACAAGGAAAUAUAAACAGGGAUCAAAAAGUUGAGUGAAAAAAGAAUGAAACUUUACGCAGCCGUAAGAUCAUCUUUGCUUCUGAUUCCUUUCAUUAUGUGUUCAAUUCCCAGACGACGAAACAACAAAGAAUCGAAUCGGAAAUAAGAAAAUAGCAAACCCAGACGAAAAUCCUAAUUCGAUUAAAAUCCCCAAUUCGAUUUGAAACCCUCAUUCUAGUAAAAUCCCACAAUCGAACCGUAAAAAUUGAUGAAAUCAACAUGCAUCAACUCCAAAUGCAAAGAUAAUGAACUAAAACGCUCUGAUUUAUCUUCAACACCGAAGAUCGCCGAAUCACCUUUUGUUUCGUCGGAGGAAUUUUUUUUAUGUAAUUGUCGCGACUUCUUUUUUUUUUCUCCUUACAAAACACGACCCUGACCCUCACCAAUCGGACUUUGCCAACUCAUCAAGGACCAAAUCCUUAAUCUCCUUAGUUAAGGACUCUUUCUUAACUUAUGAUUUUUUUAUAUUAAUAUUUUAAUCAAUCCCGCAUAAGAAUUAAUGCUAAGGAUCUACUUAAACCCCGCGUUGCGGGUGGUCUUAUAUAUCUACUUACCUGUGUUGAAUGUCAUUUUCCUAAGUCAAGGUCUUUAAAAUAGUAUUUUCUUCUUUCUUUUUUGACUUGUCUACCUACUUUCUUCCUAUGUAGAUGUGAUGAUAAACUUUUAUAUUAGGGUGUGAGUCUGGCAGAAAAUAAAGUAGCCAUCGGAAUCCUCUCUGAUGACGUGAUAUAAUUCUAAAAUAAAAUUAAUUUCUCAUAUAUAUAUAUAUACAUAUAUAUAUAUAUAUUAAUAUUUAGAUUUUAAUUAAUUUGUAAAAUACUGAACUCGUUUUAAUCUUUUGUCUGCUAUUUUUUAUAAUUAUGAUUGCAUUUUCCUUUAUUUAAACAAGAGUUGUGACUGGUUGAUGUUGAGCCAAAAUCUGUUGUGGAUUGAACUGAUUGUAUCCAAUAGUUGGAUGAAUAUAAGUUGAUGUUGAGCAGAAAAAAAAACGAAACAAGAGUUGUGACGAACCGAAGCAUUGUACUUGUGAAUUUUUUUAAUGAUGAGAAUUCUUCUUCAUCCUGCUGUUAGAGCUGCUCUUAGAGCACCUCUAUUGAAGGUUUAUGGGGGGAGUUCACAUAGAAAUCAAGAAAAAAAAUAAUAAAAUAAUUCAAUCUUAUGAAUUCCUUUCUCUUAAAGCUUUCUUGGCUGAACCCCUUUCUCCUAAAGUUUAUCACUGUAGCGCAGACCCCACGUGUCGUGGCGAUCCGCAAUUAGUCUAGUUUUUUUUUUUUUAAAAAACCAAAAAGAAAAAGAAAAAUGUUUUAAUAAUAAAAAACUGAAAAGAUGAACCCCAAGAGAGGGUUCAUUGAUGUGGAUGCUCUUAGCUACUACUAACAUCAUGGAUCCACCCCUGCUCAGUGUGAUGUUUAAACCGAGACCAUAGGAAGUAGUUGAAAUAAAUGUGGCACAAUAAUAUAUAAGUAAAAUUAUAUUUUCCUUGGUUGAGUUAUCAUCAUCGGGGAUUGCAUUCCCUAUGAAGAGAUCAAUUUGAUUCCUAAUUUUUUUUUUUGAUAACUUUGGUGUGAUCCCAAAGAUUUUUUAGAUCCAAUGACUAAUCACCAAAAAACUUAUAGAAAUUCAGGUUUUUUUGCCACUUAAAACGUUUAUAAGUGACCAAGAGAAAUCGAACCCAGAACGGAAAUUCCAGAUAUAACUCUUUUACUAUUAGACCGAGACCACUUUGUUAAUAAUAUAGAUUUAUAUAUAAACUGACCAAUGGAUAUUUGACUAUCCUACUUGCAGCCAUCAUAUAUCAACUAUGAACAACCAUUCUAUUUUCUCGUUUUGCUAAAAUUAAUUCUAUGUUUCUUUUGCUUUUACGUCUACGUUUGUUUUGUUUUAUUUAACAACUCAUUGAUCAAAGAUGCAUGUAGCAUCUGCACCCAGCUUGUAAGCAUAUCCAAAGAAAAAAAAUACUAGAAACAAGAAACAAAAAAAAGAGAGUAGAAGAGUACAAUACGAGCAUUUUCAAAAAAA
Brassica rapa (field mustard) is the source of this 2410-nucleotide long non-coding RNA. RefSeq lists it as uncharacterized. The record is from RefSeq and is a predicted model, not a curated record. NCBI's taxonomy places the organism in Eukaryota, Viridiplantae, Streptophyta, Magnoliopsida, Brassicales, Brassicaceae.